This 306-nucleotide long non-coding RNA is filed under the name Capsella rubella. RNAcentral's name for it is "long non-coding RNA (CRUB_LNC000342)". The record is from RNAcentral. Lineage: Eukaryota; Viridiplantae; Streptophyta; Magnoliopsida; Brassicales; Brassicaceae.
UCGAAUUCAAAUCUCGUCACACUUAGAGAUCUCGACACUUAGAGAGAAAAAGAGAAGAAGAAGAAGAAACGGUUCGGGGGGAGAGAGUGAGAGAAACUCGAUUAGGGAUUGGAGUUUUUAAUUUUUUCAAAUUUUUUUUUUUCUUUUUUAUUAUUUCGAGUUUCUGGGUUAUAUUAAUGAGUGGGUGGAUAUAUCCAGGUUUUUGAUGUAAUAAUACAGUUUUGACGAGGAUACAGUUAUAAUUGAAGUGUUUUUCGAUUUAAAUAUAAAACAAAAAACAAAGAAAGAAUAGAAAGGGAGAAUAGC